CCUACGGGGCGCAGCAGUGGGGAAUAUUGGACAAUGGGCGAAAGCCUGAUCCAGCCAUGCCGCGUGUGUGAAGAAGGCCUUCGGGUUGUAAAGCACUUUCAGUGGGGAAGAAAGCCUUGGGGCUAAUACCCUCGAGGAAGGACAUCACCCACAGAAGAAGCACCGGCUAACUCCGUGCCAGCAGCCGCGGUAAUACGGAGGGUGCGAGCGUUAAUCGGAAUUACUGGGCGUAAAGCGCGCGUAGGCGGUCUGAUAAGCCGGUUGUGAAAGCCCCGGGCUCAACCUGGGAACGGCAUCCGGAACUGUCAGGCUAGAGUGCUGGAGAGGAAGGUAGAAUUCCCGGUGUAGCGGUGAAAUGCGUAGAGAUCGGGAGGAAUACCAGUGGCGAAGGCGGCCUUCUGGACUGACACUGACGCUGAGGUGCGAAAGCGUGGGUAGCAAACAGGAUUAGAUACCCGAGUAGUC
RNAcentral lists this ribosomal RNA (465 nucleotides) under Vreelandella stevensii. RNAcentral's name for it is "partial 16S ribosomal RNA". It matches the Rfam family "Bacterial small subunit ribosomal RNA", at positions 338 to 795 of the family's 1533-position model. Lineage: Bacteria; Pseudomonadati; Pseudomonadota; Gammaproteobacteria; Oceanospirillales; Halomonadaceae. The record is from RNAcentral.